GUGAAAUUCGCGCGUAUAUUACAGUAGAAUAUUGUUCAAUAGCUGUGAAGUGAGUCGUGGAAGUACCGAGAAAAGUUUUGUCCGUUCGCUAUGUAACGGCAUUUCGGCUUUCGUGUUGCUGAGAUUUGCGUCCUCGACUCACGGAUUGAAUCGAAAUCUGUGAAUCGUUAGAUAUAAUAAUCUAACGCAUAUGUGCCAUAGCAUCGUUCAAUAUCUGCUAGAAGCGGUCAUCUACUUCAUCGGGAAUACCCAGCCAAGCUACGUGACCGUUUUUUAUCAUGGCCGACUUUUCGGAUCGUAUGGCCGGAGCGACAGACCCAGAGCCAUCUAUUGAAGGAAGGAAGAAAGGAAGGAUCGUAUGGCGGACUCUAUUCGAGUGAAACAUCGUGAUAGGUUCGAGAAGGACGACGAGAGCAACGAGAACGACGAUGAGGACGACGAGGGAUUAGGACGCCAGUGAGACGUGUUCAUCGAGUUAGUGCACAAGUGAAAAGUGAAUCAAGUGGAAAGUGAUAAGUGUUGUGAAAAAGGCCUGUAAUUAUUAUUAAAGUGAAAGUGUUUAAAUUGUGCUACGAAGAAAUAUUGUUAAGUGUCCUUGGAUAUAUUUUGUGAAGAGGAUCUUCAGAAACGACUAAAGAAACUCUUUAUAGAACUCUUGCAGGACUGUAAAUUUGGGAAAAUCUCACAAUGUAUGCGCGGAUAUCAUAACUUGGUCAGACAGAGAUAAGGACGCUUCUGUCGAGGCUGUACCCGCUGCCCCUCGACUACAAUCUAGUCAUGUAGUUCGAGAGCGCGAUCACGAAUUGCUGUCGUCGCGCGAACCUGCCGGAGAUCGUCAACGUGCCACCCGGCGAGAGAUACCUGGACUCG
Harpegnathos saltator (Jerdon's jumping ant) is the source of this 870-nucleotide long non-coding RNA. RefSeq lists it as uncharacterized. The record is from RefSeq and is a predicted model, not a curated record. Lineage: Eukaryota; Metazoa; Arthropoda; Insecta; Hymenoptera; Formicidae. The transcript is spliced from 3 exons.